AUGGGAGCGCUUGAGAAGACUAUCAGGGGCUUUGUGGACAGGGAGGGGGAUGAAGUAGUGAAGCCAGAGCUAGGGACAAAUUUCGACUCGCUGACAGAGGCUUACGAUUUUUACAACUUAUAUUCGUGGGAGCAUGGCUUCGGCAUUAGAUACGGGAAAAACAUGAUCAAUCCUGAUAGAAGGAAGACCAUGCAGGAGAUUGUAUGUGGAUGCUCAGGGAAGCCUCUCCUUGAGAAUACAAGAUCCUGUAGGUGUGAGUGUCCAGCAAUGAUUAGGCUGUUGAGGGCAUCAGAUAAUGGGGAUCCAGAUUUACAUCUGAUGGAUAAAGCUUAUACUGGAAGCAUCUGGCCGGCCCUGGGCUGA
Molecule: ribosomal RNA, 363 nt
Filed under: Triticum aestivum (bread wheat)
Lineage: Eukaryota; Viridiplantae; Streptophyta; Magnoliopsida; Poales; Poaceae
Description: partial small subunit ribosomal RNA
Source: RNAcentral